Molecule: ribosomal RNA, 200 nt
Filed under: uncultured bacterium
Lineage: Bacteria
Description: partial 16S ribosomal RNA
Rfam family: Bacterial small subunit ribosomal RNA
Source: RNAcentral
UACAGAGGGUGCGAGCGUUGUCCGGAAUCACUGGGCGUAAAGGGCGCGUAGGUGGCGCUCCAAGUCCAUGGUGAAAGCUCGAUGCUCAACAUCGAGUCGGCCACGGAUACUGGAGGGCUGGAGCACUGUAGGGGCAGAUGGAAUUCCGGGUGUAGCGGUGGAAUGCGUAGAGAUCCGGAAGAACACCGGUGGCGAAGGCG